This 64-nucleotide transfer RNA is filed under the name Ranina ranina. RNAcentral's name for it is "tRNA-Ile". Lineage: Eukaryota; Metazoa; Arthropoda; Malacostraca; Decapoda; Raninidae. The record is from RNAcentral.
AGUUCAGUGCCUGAAUAAAGGGUAGCUUUGAUAGAGCUAAUCAUGUAGAUUUCUACCUGUACUA